This 330-nucleotide unclassified non-coding RNA is filed under the name Basidiomycota sp. Its description in RNAcentral is "partial contains small subunit ribosomal RNA, internal transcribed spacer 1, and 5.8S ribosomal RNA". The stretch from base 1 to 47 matches the Rfam family "Eukaryotic small subunit ribosomal RNA", at positions 1785 to 1831 of the family's 1831-position model. The record is from RNAcentral. Lineage: Eukaryota; Fungi; Basidiomycota.
AAAGUCGUAACAAGGUAUCCGUAGGUGAACCUGCGGAUGGAUCAUUACCAAAGAGACGGCGCCUCUUAGCCUUCGGGUAACGAGCGCCUGUCCACCCCACACUUUGUGAACUGUUUCCUGUCUCUGGCGGGUGGCUGAAAGAACACCUUGUGUGUUUUGGAGGCCUGGCUUGGGACUGGUUUCUUCGGAAACCUGGCUCAUCAGCCGAACCCGCCGAGGGGCUUCAUGGCCCCACAAUUGACAAACUCAUGCGUGAACCUUUUACCUGUCUGAACUUGUAAAACAUUUUAAAUGUGAAAACAACUUUUGACAACGGAUCUCUUGGCUCUC